RNAcentral lists this ribosomal RNA (653 nucleotides) under uncultured bacterium. RNAcentral's name for it is "bacterial SSU rRNA". It matches the Rfam family "Bacterial small subunit ribosomal RNA", at positions 89 to 777 of the family's 1533-position model. The record is from RNAcentral.
ACAUCACCGGCGGACGGGUGCGUAACACGUGGGAAUAUACCUUUUGGUUCGGAACAACGCAGGGAAACUUGCGCUAAUACCGAAUGUGCCCUUACGGGGAAAGAUUUAUCGCCAAAGGAUUAGCCCGCGUCCGAUUAGCUAGUUGGUGAGGUAAUGGCUCACCAAGGCUCCGAUCGGUAGCUGUUCUGAGAGGAAGAUCAGCCACACUGGGACUGAGACACGGCCCAGACUCCUACGGGAGGCAGCAGUUGGGAAUCUUGGACAAUGGGGGAAACCCUGAUCCAGCCAUGCCGCGUGAGUGAUGAAGGCCUUCGGGUUGUAAAACUCUUUCGACGGGGACGAUAAUGACGGUACCCGUAGAAGAAGCUCCGGCUAACUUCGUGCCAGCAGCCGCGGUAAUACGAAGGGGGCUAGCGUUGUUCGGAAUUACUGGGCGUAAAGCGCGCGCAGGCGGUCUUCCAAGUCAGUGGUGAAAGCCCGGAGCUCAACUCCGGAACUGCCAUUGAAACUGUAAGACUUGAGGACGAGAGAGGUGAGUGGAAUUCCCAGUGUAGAGGUGAAAUUCGUAGAUAUUGGGAAGAACACCGGUGGCGAAGGCGGCUCACUGGCUCGUUUCUGACGCUCAGGCGCGACAGCGUGAGGAUCAAACAGGA